Molecule: long non-coding RNA, 3011 nt
Filed under: Sorghum bicolor (sorghum)
Lineage: Eukaryota; Viridiplantae; Streptophyta; Magnoliopsida; Poales; Poaceae
Description: long non-coding RNA (SBIC_LNC002304)
Source: RNAcentral
UUCAUUCAAUUCAAUUCUGGGAACAUUCAGGACACACAAAACAUUACUUCCUAAAAUAACUUGGUACAGUCUAAUCACUUCCAGAUACCAGCAACAACCACACCAAUCAUCACACCUAUAAAACCUACAAAUACAGCUGCUAGAACAGAAACCCCUGGUCGCUGGUUUCUUGCUCCGGAUGUGGACCAAAGCAACAUGGCAAAAGGGGCACUCCCUUCUACCGCUAGCCGUCGAGCUCGAGGCACUGGAAGUUGCCUUCAUGGGGCCGCGACUCCACUUCCCGGCCAUGGCUUCAGAGUUGGACGCCGCCAUCGAACUGAGCCUCCAGAGCACUAGAAGCAGUAGACCUCAGGCCACCGUGCUAGGCUGCUCCAUCGUGGGCUGUGAUGUCGGCUCAAGAGGGGAAUCAACGCUGGAUGGAUUCUAGGGAUUGGGUUCGUGGAGAAGGGGAACAGAGAAGGAGGAACACGGUGAGGAACGGAGUCGUACGGGAGAAGAAGACCGAGCCGCGACUGCUUCUAUCGUGGGUAGGCAGGGGCAUCGGUGUCCAUAGGCUGGUUGCGUAUGCGUAUCCCAGGCCCAGACAGCUUGUCUACAUAGAAAAUGGCAAUCAUCAGGAAGAUUGAGAAUUGUAAUGGCAUGUUUUGAAAUACCCGAAUUGUAAUGACAUUUCUCCAACUUCGAAGAAUUGUAAUGGCUCAGAUAAAAAAAACCCAAAAAAAUUACGGCCCAAUAAGUCGGACGACGACUGCGAUGGACACGAAGGCGACGAGCUCGGUGGUGACUGAUGAGGUGCGGGUUGGGGAACGCGGUGAGGUACUCGGCGUCGGCAGAGGAGUCUGGGAGCAGGAGGAGGAGGAGGUUGAGGAGGCGCGGAGAACUAGAACCGCGAGGAGCAGGUCACGGAGGAUGAACGUGCCCCACGGGAGGAGGAAUGGAGGAUCGGGAUCCUAAGCGCGACGAGAGCCACGGCGGCGACGCCCGGCCCUGAACCUGAAGGCGCGGCGCCCAAGUUGUCGACGAAGGCCGCGGCGAGCAGUGCAUCCAUGUGGUGCGCGGAUGGCUGGGCGUAUGCCACGAGGUGUAUCACGUUAGUUUCCACCGCAGUGGCGCAGGAGAAGGGGAGCGGCGGUGAUGUGCAGUUGCUGAAUGCGGCACCCUCCAUAUAUUCGAUGAAAUGGCAAUAACAAUGACUAAGGGUUAACAUUACCAUGUUCUGAGGGCAGCGACGGAACCAAUUUUUGUUAGUAUGAUAAAAUAUAUAUAAUUAUAUGUUUGAUAAACUUUUAAAAAAGUAUUACACUAUUUUUUACCAAAAUUAUCAUAUUUGAAUAAAAAAUAUGUGAAAUUGAUAUUUAUUAUACUAUAAAUAUUAGUAUUUAUAUAGGUAUUUAAGGAAAGAUUAGGCUUUGGGAGGGGCACUGCCUGGUUACGCCACUGGUUCUAAGCCAGGGUCAUCAUACUCUUCUAUACAGAUAAACAAACACGUUCUUAGCCGAACACGAUUCUGCAUAAAUAUGAAAUCAAACACACACACACUUCUUCCAUUUGGAUCGGGCCCUGGCUGACCAGCCAGCCAAUUCGGAGAAAUCGAGUCAACCCACUUAUGGUGGCUGCGCGGAGGAGCGGCACCAAGGGCCUCGUGGAUGUGGAGGGAGCUGUUCGGUCGGUCCAUAGAGCAGCGGGAGGUGGCGGGCGGGCGUGCGAGCCAAGGCCACACCUACCGAGCACGGGCGGAGCUGUGAAGCCGCGGUGCGGCGCAUAUGCAGGCAAGGGGUGAGGCGAGUCGCGUGAGGUGGGGCUAGGUGGCAACAUGGUGACGAUGGGUGCCUAGUGAGAGACGUAGGGCGUGUUUGUGAAGGUGGCUCCGCCUAGCACGGCUACCUGGCAUGACCCUAGCCAGUCCGAGCAUGGCUCAUAUGGUGCAACAACACGUGUUUGUAUCACUGGUUCAGACAAGCCCGACUUAAGUGAGAUCGUGUUUGGUUCGUGUCUCAAGUGGCUACGGUUACUUCGGACUAGAAAUUUGGUAGACUUACCACCACAAUUUUAUUUAGAAACAAAUUUGUGUAAUUAUUAAUUAAAUUAAUAAUAUUAAUUUGAUAAACAUGUGACAUGGUAAACAUUGUUGGGAACACAUAUUUCACGCGGACACGGUCGCUAUGCAACAAGAACCGAACUACAACUCUAGGUGGCUUUUAAUUAUAAAUUUAUUAAAUAAAUAUUAAACAAAUUAUAUUUAAAUCAAUAAAUGUAUAAACGAGUCAUAUAAUAAAUAUUUGCACUGCUGCGUAGAACACGACGACACAAAUCUAACGCAACUGGAACGAUUCGAAUCGGAAUUAGGAUGGUUAAAUGAUGAAUAAUUAAAGGACAAUGGCAAACUUGUAAAUACCAUCAUCUUCAACCUUGGGUCCUGUUCGUGAACGCAGUGGCCAAUUAGAAGAUCGGAAGCAGCAGCUGCUGGGCACCGGGAAGGGAGGGCUCGGCCGAGACUUGGCCAGGCCGGCGGCGCAGCGGCAUGUGGCCAGAUGACCCACGCGCUGGGUCGGGGCAAGGGCCCGCACGACGACCUGCACGGGCCACACAGAGCCGGCCAUGCGGCCGUGAGCGGCGCCGGCGGCUGUUUGCGCAGCACGCAAGGGAGGCACGCACAGCGCGGGGCUCGACGUGGUGGUGUGGUUAGGGUCGGGGAGCGGCGCUAGGCCCGAGGCGAGGAGGGCCGCGGCCAUGGCCGGAGAUAGCCUGGAACAGAGAAAAUCAUAGUAAAGUUCGUCGGAGAAGAGAGAAGGGGAAGGGAACUGGCCAAACCGACAUGGAUUUACAAAACGAAUGGCGUGCCGGUGUAGAGGAUGAUGAGACGAACCUCGCAGCGGUGACAGUUUUCGCAGAGGUCGCCGGAGUUGACCGGAAAAGCUCGCCGAACUUUCACCGGAAAAGUUCGCCGGAAACGAGAUCUAAAACUUCGGCGACCGAUCUACGGGGCUACGAGUGGCGGCUCGCAAAAGCGG